UUUCCCAUGUAGCUUCUUCUACCUUGUGAGUUCUCCACAACACUUUCACUAAGGGAAUCUUCUUAUUUCUUAACUCUUUCAGUUCCCUUGCUAAAAUUUUCACUGGUUCUUCUUCAUAAGUUAAAUCAGACUGUACAUCAAUGGUUUCAGCUGGAAUGACAUGUGACGGAUCAGAUCUGUAUCUUCUUAACAUGGAUACAUGAAAGACAUUGUGAAUUCUGUCUAACUCUGGAGGUAAAGCUAGCCUGUAGGCUACUGGACCCACACGCUCAAUUAUUUCAUAUGGAC
RNAcentral lists this long non-coding RNA (288 nucleotides) under Manihot esculenta (cassava). RNAcentral's name for it is "long non-coding RNA (MESC_LNC009352)". The record is from RNAcentral. Lineage: Eukaryota; Viridiplantae; Streptophyta; Magnoliopsida; Malpighiales; Euphorbiaceae.